CCAGGUCAGUGUGUUAUAUAGUAGUUGGUCCAGGUCAGUGUGUUAUAUAGUAGUUGGUCCAGGUCAGAUCAGUGUGUUAUAUAGUAGUUGGUCCAGGUCAGGUCAGUGUGUUAUAUAGUAGUUGGUCCAGGUCAGGUCAGUGUGUUAUAUAGUAGUUGAUCCAGGUCAGUGUGUUAUAUAGUAGUUGGUCCAGGACAGAUCAGUGUGUUAUAUAGUAGUUGGUCCAGGUCAGAUCAGUGUGUUAUAUAGUAGUUGGUCCAGGUCAGAUCAGUGUGUUAUAUAGUAGUUGGUCAAGGUCAGAUCAGUGUGUUAUAUAGUAGUUGGUCCAGGUCAGAUCAGUGUGUUAUAUAGUAGUUGGUCCAGGUCAGGUCAGUGUGUUAUAUAGUAGUUGGUCCAGGACAGAUCAGUGUGUUAUAUAGUAGUUGGUCCAGGUCAGUGUGUUAUAUAGUAGUUGGUCCAGAUCAGAUCAGUGUGUUAUAUAGUAGUUGGUCCAGGUCAGAUCAGUGUGUUAUAUAGUAGUUGGUCCAGGUCAGUGUGUUAUAUAGUAGUUGGUCCAGGUCAGAUCAGUGUGUUAUAUAGUAGUUGGUCCAGGUCAGGUCAGUGUGUUAUAUAGUAGUUGGUCCAGGUCAGAUCAGUGUGUUAUAUAGUAGUUGGUCCAGG
This 660-nucleotide long non-coding RNA is filed under the name Salmo salar (Atlantic salmon). RNAcentral's name for it is "lncRNA (ENSSSAG00000082253.1)". The record is from RNAcentral. Lineage: Eukaryota; Metazoa; Chordata; Actinopteri; Salmoniformes; Salmonidae.